Molecule: non-coding RNA, 93 nt
Organism: Trichonephila inaurata madagascariensis
Lineage: Eukaryota; Metazoa; Arthropoda; Arachnida; Araneae; Nephilidae
Source: the annotation of a GenBank genome assembly
GUAGUCGUGGCCGAGUGGUUAAGGCGACAGAUGAGACCUCUACUCACCGUCUGGGGGUCAUAUCCCGCAUGGGUUCGAAUCCCAUUGACUGCA